Molecule: ribosomal RNA, 429 nt
Filed under: Verrucomicrobiota bacterium
Lineage: Bacteria; Pseudomonadati; Verrucomicrobiota
Description: Verrucomicrobia bacterium partial 16S ribosomal RNA
Rfam family: Bacterial small subunit ribosomal RNA
Source: RNAcentral
UAGGGAAUCUUCGGCAAUGGGGGGAACCCUGACCGAGCAACGCCGCGUGAGUGAAGAAGGUUUUCGGAUCGUAAAGCUCUGUUGUUAAGGAAGAACGAGUGUGAGAAUGGAAAGUUCAUGCUGUGACGGUACCGAAAAAGCAAGCCACGGCUAACUACGUGCCAGCAGCCGCGGUAAUACGUAGGUGGCAAGCGUUGUCCGGAAUUAUUGGGCGUAAAGCGCGCGCAGGCGGUCACUUAAGUCCAUCUUAGAAGUGCGGAGCUUAACACAGUGAUGGGAUGGAAACUGGGAGACUGGGGUAUCGGGGAGGAAAGUGGAAUUCCUGGGGUAGCGGUGAAAUGCGUAGAUAUUAGGAAGAAAACCGGUGGCGAAGGCGACUUUCUGGACGAAAACUGACGCUGAGGCGCGAAAGCGUGGGGAGCAAACAGG